Molecule: long non-coding RNA, 1399 nt
Filed under: Equus caballus (horse)
Lineage: Eukaryota; Metazoa; Chordata; Mammalia; Perissodactyla; Equidae
Description: lncRNA (ENSECAG00000039478.2)
Source: RNAcentral
CCACACUCGGGGUUAGGCUGCAACAUAUGAAUUUGGGGAGGACACAAACAUUCCGUCCAUAGCAAGGACUGAGGCCCCCGUCUUCUUGCUGGCUGUCAGCGUGCCCCCUCCAUCCUUCCUUCUCCCGUGCCCCUCCAACUUCACAGCAGCAGUGGCCAUCCAGCCCUUCUCCUGCUUUGUGCCUCUCAACUUCUCCUUCUGCCACCAGCCAGAGAAGGCUCUCUUCUUUUAUGGGCUCAUGUCCUCCUAUCUUAAGGUCAGCUGUCAUAGCACAACCACAGGAGUGACGCCUCAUCAUAGUCACAGGUUCAAGAGAUCAGGACAUGGAAUGGGGGAGGGGCAGUUUUAGAAUUCUGCCAAGCACAGAGGUGACACUGAGACCUAGAGCCUGAGAGGAGGUGAGUACGUGGCCAGUGGGGUUGGAGCAUUCCAGACAGCGGGCAGCAUCCUCCUUGAAGGAGGAAGAAGCUUGAUCUGGGAGAGGCACUGAGAGGCCAGCGUAGGCUGCAGGAAGGUGAGCGAUGUGGAGCAUGGUCCAAGAGGAGGACCUCCGAAUGUGACUGGAUCAGGUGAGCCCUGAUCUGUUCAGCUGGUGUCCUCAUAGAGAGAGUUAGGACGCAGGCACACACAGAGGGAUGACCGCGUGGAGACAUCAGAAGAUCCACCUACCAGGCGAGGAGAGAAGCCGGAGAAGAACCUGACUUGUCGAUGCCUUGAUCUGGGACUUCCGGCCCCCAGAACUGCUCUCGGCAGUGUUGUCGAAUUGUUUUCCCGGCUCACCCGUGCUCACAGCUCAGUACAUUCCCUCGGAUGAUGUUGGCACCUGUGAGACCCCAUCACACAGCCACCUCAUUUGCCAGUUCCUCCGCACUGGCUCCUGAUCCAGCAGGCAGCUGGCCACAGGCAGGUGACCCCAAAGUCCUGUGAUGCAGCUGAAAAGAGAGCCAUGGAAAGGCAGCCACAGCUCCACCGAAACUCUCAGAGGAGACGCUGCUCUGAAUAGACAGCUUCAGGCAGAAAAGGACCCUGCUGGACACGUUACCUCCGCGUUCCGCUCUGGGACGCUUAACUCCUUCCUUGGGCCGCCUGGAGACGGCCAGGGAGAGCGCCUGGGCCCAAAGGACUCUUGGGUCUUUGCUGCCUUCAUUACUGCUUAUAAAAGCUAGUAAACAGAUGGUUUGGUUUAAAGAAAAUAUGCAGCUGGGGUUAUUAAAAAGAAAAAAAAGAAAGCAGAAGAAUGAAGAGAGGAAAGGGAAAAGCAAGAAGGCUUGUCCGCAGCAGGAACGGUGACAGCUCGUAAAUCCCAACACCGCGGGCUCCGCGUGUGUCUCUGGUUGGGGUGACGCCGUCCUCACCGAGCUGGUCUGUCCUGAAAGAAGACCAAAUAAAACCAACCUCG